RNAcentral lists this ribosomal RNA (608 nucleotides) under Cryphonectria parasitica (chestnut blight fungus). RNAcentral's name for it is "LSU rRNA". It matches the Rfam family "Eukaryotic large subunit ribosomal RNA", at positions 13 to 644 of the family's 3401-position model. Lineage: Eukaryota; Fungi; Ascomycota; Sordariomycetes; Diaporthales; Cryphonectriaceae. The record is from RNAcentral.
AGGUAGGAAUACCCGCUGAACUUAAGCAUAUCAAUAAGCGGAGGAAAAGAAACCAACAGGGAUUGCCCUAGUAACGGCGAGUGAAGCGGCAACAGCUCAAAUUUGAAAUCUGGCUUCGGCCCGAGUUGUAAUUUGCAGAGGAUGUUUCUGGCGCGGUGCCUUCCGAGUUCCCUGGAACGGGACGCCACAGAGGGUGAGAGCCCCGUAUGGUUGGACACCAAGCCUGUGUGAAACUCCUUCGACGAGUCGAGUAGUUUGGGAAUGCUGCUCAAAAUGGGAGGUAAAUCUCUUCUAAAGCUAAAUACCGGCCAGAGACCGAUAGCGCACAAGUAGAGUGAUCGAAAGAUGAAAAGCACCUUGAAAAGGGGGUUAAACAGUACGUGAAAUUGUUGAAAGGGAAGCGCUUGUGACCAGACUUGCGCCGGGCGGUUCAUCCGGGGUUCUCCCCGGUGCACUCCGCCCGGCUCAGGCCAGCAUCGGUUUUCGUUGGGGGAUAAGAACGGCAGGAACGUGGCCCUCCUUCGGGUGGGUGUUAUAGCCUGCCGUACGAUACCCUGACGGGGACCGAGGUUCGCGCUCCGCAAGGAUGCUGGCGUAANGGNCNCACA